Non-coding RNA from Lolium perenne, 1212 nucleotides. The record is from RefSeq and is a predicted model, not a curated record. NCBI's taxonomy places the organism in Eukaryota, Viridiplantae, Streptophyta, Magnoliopsida, Poales, Poaceae.
CGAUCAGCGUGUGGCGGUUGGGGCGGGGGCGACGUCGUCGGCGUGGAGACGGGCCAGCAAGCCUGAGCGUGGCCAGCCUACCGACCGAGCAGCAGAGCUGUGGUAUAGAGAUAUAGAGACGUGCUUCCCAACUCAUAUCCCUCUGUCUCAAUUUUCUUUUAUCUCGGGCGGCCUAAAUCGGAUAGAUCUAGGUGAUGGAGAACCGGCCUACUUUCUUUGUGGUUUCCCCUGGGAUUGGAGUUCUCUAGCUGCAUAUAGCUUCAGUUCUCUAGGUCAGAUCUCCUCUUGGCCAAGGUAUCUUUGAUUCCAAGCCGCCCUAGGUUGCAGGCCACAUCUCCUUCUAAUUGUCUGGUUUUUUUCCUGCUCUUGAUGCUACGGCAGGCUGGCCAGUUGCAUCUCCCUAUGGUUUGUGCUUUUCACCACCACAAUCAAAGAUGUACGUAUGGUGGUGUUGUUGGUGGUCCUGGCCUUGCUGCAACUGAUGGAUGGUUUCUUCUGGUUGAUUCCUACUGAAAAAAAUUAUUACUUCUGAGAGCCAUGCCAAUUCACAUGGCAAUUAUACAGUUCAUAUCAACAUAAUUGAUAUUGUUAUCCGGAGGCGGGGAAUUUCUGUAGGCAAGCAGCCGACUAAUUGUGUUAUUAAUAUGUUCAUUUUCUUCUUUCUUUAUUGAAAGCUAAUUUCUUAUAUGCUGAGUGCACUCAAAAUCAUAAAAAGGUUAAUUUCACACAAAUGGCACUAUCCUCAUGGUUUCAUGUAGUCUAUUGUUCACGAAUCUGAAACAUGUAUAUGAGCCAAGAGCGUAUUGGCAUUUUUCUUCGUCUAAUUUAUCUGUUCGUGUUCUAGGUACUUCAAAUUUUAAUGACAGCAACAAGGAGGCCGCCUCUAGCAAACAUGCCCAGACCAUCAAUUAUGCACGUGAGACCGCCCAGCACACUGCCUCUGAAGCUCACGCCACAGUGUGUUUUUUCGCUUGUGUUUAUUCUUUGUUACUCCUCUGGUCGAGCACUUGAGAGUACAUAUGCUGACGCUCUCCAUUUGAUUUGAUUUGUGUGCGGGGAUGGCGAGCGGAAUGGCUGGGGACAUGAAGGGGCCGGCGAACGAUCCCGGGCAGACAAGGGACACGACAAAGGAGGUUCUAAAAGGGACGGCCACAAGGCUAUUGUGCUUCUUGACCAAACUUCAUCUGGCCAAAAUUCUCUUCAUAUUCUCUU